GAAUUGCAGCAGUAUCUUGCCAACCUGGCUGAGCAGUGCAGUGCAGACAAUAAUGGGGUAGAGCUCCCUGUUGUCAUAAUUCUGGAUAAUCUUCACCACGUGGGUUCCUUGAGUGAUAUCUUCAAUGGUUUUCUCAAUUGUAAAUACAACAAAUGUCCUUAUAUUAUUGGAACCAUGAAUCAGGGAGUGUCUUCGUCACCAAAUUUAGAACUACAUCACAAUUUCAGGUGGGUUUUAUGUGCAAAUCACAUGGAACCUGUAAAAGGCUUUUUAGGCAGGUAUCUUCGAAGGAAACUGAUAGAGAUGGAAAUUGAAAGGAAUAUACGUAAUAACGACCU
RNAcentral lists this long non-coding RNA (338 nucleotides) under Rattus norvegicus (Norway rat). Its description in RNAcentral is "long non-coding RNA NONRATT026736". The record is from RNAcentral. Lineage: Eukaryota; Metazoa; Chordata; Mammalia; Rodentia; Muridae.